Molecule: ribosomal RNA, 484 nt
Filed under: uncultured bacterium
Lineage: Bacteria
Description: partial 16S ribosomal RNA
Rfam family: Bacterial small subunit ribosomal RNA
Source: RNAcentral
GACGAACGCUGGCGGCGUGCUUAACACAUGCAAGUCGAACGAUGAAGCCGGAGCUUGCUCUGGUGAAUUAGUGGUGAACGGGUGAGUAACACGUGAGUAACCUGCCCUUGACUCUGGGAUAACUGCUAGAAAUGGUAGCUAAUACCGGAUACGACCCUCGGAGGCAUCUCCAGGGGGUGGAAAGAAUUUCGGUCAAGGAUGGACUCGCGGCCUAUCAGCUAGUUGGUGAGGUAAUGGCUCACCAAGGCGACGACGGGUAGCCGGCCUGAGAGGGUGACCGGCCACACUGGGACUGAGACACUGCCCAGACUGCUACGGGAGGCAGCAGUCGGGAAUAUUGCACAAUGGGCGCAAGCCUGAUGCAGCAACGCCGCGGGAGGGAUGACGGCCUUCGGGUUGUAAACCUCUUUUAGUAGGGAAGAAGCGAAAGUGACGGUACCUGCAGAAAAAGCACCGGCUAACUACGUGCCAGCCGCCGCCGUAA